GGAGUUCCAUCCUCUAUUUUCGAAACUGUUCAUCAAAUCUUCACCAAACUUACAUGACCUUUAGGUACCUACC
Maniola jurtina (meadow brown) is the source of this 73-nucleotide long non-coding RNA. RefSeq lists it as uncharacterized. The transcript is spliced from 3 exons. The record is from RefSeq and is a predicted model, not a curated record. NCBI's taxonomy places the organism in Eukaryota, Metazoa, Arthropoda, Insecta, Lepidoptera, Nymphalidae.